UUUAGAGAUGAGUGGCGAACGGGUGAGUAAUACAUAGGUAACCUGCCCCUGUGCGGGGGAUAACAGGAGGAAACUCCUGCUAAUACCGCAUAGCCAUGAGCACCGCAUGGAGCUCAUGCCAAAUAUCCUUUAUGGGAUAGCGCAGGGAUGGACCUAUGGCGCAUUAGCUGGUUGGCGGGGCAACGGCCCACCAAGGCAACGAUGCGUAGCCGGCCUGAGAGGGCGGACGGCCACAUUGGGACUGAGACACGGCCCAGACUCCUACGGGAGGCAGCAGUAGGGAAUUUUCGGCAAUGGGGGAAACCCUGACCGAGCAACGCCGCGUGAGCGAAGAAGGCCUUCGGGUCGUAAAGCUCUGUUGUAAAGGAAGAACGGCGCAUACAGGAAAUGGUAUGCGAGUGACGGUACUUUACCAGAAAGCCACGGCUAACUACGUGCCAGCAGCCGCGGUAAUACGUAGGUGGCGAGCGUUAUCCGGAAUCAUUGGGCGUAAAGAGGGAGCAGGCGGCCGCAAGGGUCUGUGGUGAAAGACCGAAGCUAAACUUCGGUAAGCCAUGGAAACCGGGCGGCUAGAGUGCGGAAGAGGAUCGUGGAAUUCCAUGUGUAGCGGUGAAAUGCGUAGAUAUAUGGAGGAACACCAGUGGCGAAGGCGACGGUCUGGGCCGCAACUGACGCUCAUUCCCGAAAGCGUGGGGAGCAAAUAGGAUUAGAUACCCUAGUAGUCCACUCCGGGAACGAUGGUCACUAAGUGUCGGGGGUCAAACCCCGGUGCUGCAGUCAACGCAAUAAGUGACCCGCC
This 799-nucleotide ribosomal RNA is filed under the name uncultured bacterium. RNAcentral describes it as "bacterial SSU rRNA". It matches the Rfam family "Bacterial small subunit ribosomal RNA", at positions 84 to 873 of the family's 1533-position model. The record is from RNAcentral.